RNAcentral lists this ribosomal RNA (396 nucleotides) under uncultured bacterium. Its description in RNAcentral is "partial 16S ribosomal RNA". It matches the Rfam family "Bacterial small subunit ribosomal RNA", at positions 359 to 774 of the family's 1533-position model. The record is from RNAcentral.
GAUAUUGGUCAAUUGGGGGAACCCUGAACCAGCGACACCGCGUGAGGGAAGAAGGUUUUCGGAUAAUACACCUCUGUUGUCGGGGAAGAUAAUGACGGUACCCGAUGAGGACGCCACGGCUAACUUCGUUCCAUCAGCCGCGGUAAUACGAAGGGGGCGAGCGUUAUCCGGAAUUAUUGGGCGUAAAGGGUGCGUAGGCGGCCUUUUAAGUCAGAUGUGAAAGGCUACGGCUUAACCGUAGUUAGCAUUUGAAACUAAAAGGCUUGAGUGCAGGAGAGGAGAGUGGAAUUCCCAGUGUAGCGGUGAAAUGCGUAGAUAUUAGGAGGAACACCAGUGGCGAAGGCGACUCUCUGGACUGCAACUGACGCUGAGGCACGAAAGCGUGGGGAGCGAACA